Long non-coding RNA from Strigops habroptila (Kakapo), 1855 nucleotides. The record is from Ensembl. Lineage: Eukaryota; Metazoa; Chordata; Aves; Psittaciformes; Psittacidae.
UUUUUUUUUUUUUUAAGAGAAAAAGAAAAAAAAAAAAAGAAAAAUUAUACAGCAAAAAUAGGAGAAAGCCCUAAUUUUGAUGUAUGGUUUUUUGAAAUAUUAUUAAUACCCAGGCAAAAAGCUAAUACCAGUCACUCAUUGAUAAUAAAGUAUUCGCAUUAUGGGGGGGGGUUAAUUGUCUUUUUUUGUGCCCCCCCCCCCCAUCCAUCCUCAAUUGGAGUCUGCAGCAGUGUCUGCUCACGCACUCUGCAGUCAAGGGGAGGUUCCAGAGGGGCAGCCACUGUCUUCCAUCUCAGCCAGGACCCUUAGAAAACAACACAUGGGUUGCUGGAAGGCUGCCGUUGUCUCCAAGAGGAGGGUAAAUGAGGACAGUUUGAGAGCCAGGGAGCAAAUGGAGGUGGUGAGAGGAAAAUCCCCCGUAGCUGUUCUUGCUCAGGGCUCUGUGAUCUCUCUGAUAACACAAAACAUGAUGGGAACAUCAUGAAGAUAAGCGUGCAUGUUUGUGUGUUCACAUUAAUGGCUAUCAGUGUAAAUCAAUGGUUAUCAGCGCUGGUGGGAAGAAGAGAAUAGACCAAAAGCUGCCCAGUAGGACCAGUUUGUCAUAUAAGCCUUGUACAGGGGUUGUCUGAGUCUGGAAUCUCCCAGAUGUGUUUGAUGGUUGAGAAACAAAUGGUGGGUUUGGACAGUUCAUGGUUGGGUGGAUCCUCAGUUGGAGACACCAUAGAGUGGCCUAAAUUUUGGGAACCUCUCCAAUAACUUGAAAUGAGGCAGAGGUGAGUUGGAUGAGUAUGUGCAGGUUUGUCCUAUAGAUCUCCUGGUCUGUUCUCCAGGCAAUAAACUGAUACAGAAAUGCUUGGGAAGAACAUACUUGCUCUGAGUAGCAGUUGAAGCCAGAAGAAGUCCUGGUCAAAUGAGCUUGUCUGGGCUCAUUUACUCUCUGGAAAUCCUGGAUAAAAUCAGGCACUUUGCUGACUUCUGCAUGAGCGUCUGCUGUCAGCACUGUAGCACCCAUGCGCUUGCAUGGGCAGGUUGGACAUUGUCUGGCUUCACUUGGUUAGUGAAGUUAUUUAUUGCCAGUGACUGGUGUUGCCAACUCUUAGAAUUGGAUAAUAAAUCCCUGUGCAUUGAUUUUCCUACAGUCCCGACCUCUGGAGUCUGGUGACUGCAGAAGCUCCUCAGCUUCCAAUGUUACAGAGGAUGUUUUUGCAGAGAAAAACAUGCAAAGAGACUUCCUCACUGGCUCAAAACUCAGAGUAAAACAGGACAUAAACUUACUAUGAAAAAGCCCUCCUGAUGCGUGUCAGGGUCAUGCAUUUUGGCAACUGGACUUGGGUGCUUCUACAGCAGCCAUGAGUGAGGAUGGGGAAGGUGGGAACCACAUCCCCUCAUGGAAGGGAACUGCAUCCCACUGGGGAAACGGGCAGACCUGGGAUGGGUGUUGGGAGCACGGAAUGUCGCAAUGUCAUUUUUCAAAUUACAACCAUACUUGAUGUUUAAUUGGGACCACAUUGGCUGAAUUCAUGCAGCAUCGGUAUUAAUACUUGACAUCAUUAUUUUUUGUUUGUGUUACAGCCAUUGUUGUCAGGGAACAGUGUCAGAACAUGUCACUAUCGUUUAAAGCCAGCUUUCAAGAGCUUUGCAGGGGUUUUUUAUCCUCUUUGGCUUGAAUUUGGUGUGUCCUGCCAUAAGCACCUACAUCACUCACUGUAGCACUCACACGCAGUCGGUCUAGGGGCGUUUUUUUAUGGUUUGGGCUUUUUUAAGGAGAUUUUUGUUGAUACUGUGCUCAUUUUAACUGGGAAGAACCAGACAAAAGCCAGGUUGCUUCUCCCGUUUCCUUUUCUCCUUCCCAGCA